Transfer RNA from Auxenochlorella protothecoides, 89 nucleotides. It matches the Rfam family "tRNA". From Rfam's summary of the family: Transfer RNA (tRNA) molecules are approximately 80 nucleotides in length. Their secondary structure includes four short double-helical elements and three loops (D, anti-codon, and T loops). Further hydrogen bonds mediate the characteristic L-shaped molecular structure. tRNAs have two regions of fundamental functional importance: the anti-codon, which is responsible for specific mRNA codon recognition, and the 3' end, to which the tRNAs corresponding amino acid is attached (by aminoacyl-tRNA synthetases). tRNAs cope with the degeneracy of the genetic code in two manners: having more than one tRNA (with a specific anti-codon) for a particular amino acid; and 'wobble' base-pairing, i.e. permitting non-standard base-pairing at the 3rd anti-codon position. The record is from Rfam. Lineage: Eukaryota; Viridiplantae; Chlorophyta; Trebouxiophyceae; Chlorellales; Chlorellaceae.
GGAAAGAUGUCUGAGUGGUUGAAGGUAUAGAUCUGGAACAUCUAUGUGAUGCUUUUAUAUCACCGAGGGUUCGAAUCCCUCUCUUUCCG